This is a long non-coding RNA of Rattus rattus (black rat), 1224 nucleotides long. RefSeq lists it as uncharacterized. Lineage: Eukaryota; Metazoa; Chordata; Mammalia; Rodentia; Muridae. The record is from RefSeq and is a predicted model, not a curated record. The transcript is spliced from 2 exons.
CCUUUUCGGGCCAUGGACUUGAGGUCCCAGGUAUGCCACUAUGGCAAAGAGGUGCCCAAGGUUCCCCAAAGACAGGAAAGGAAAAGACACCCAGAGAUCUGACACCUUCCCGGACGGACCAAGUGGAACGGGACCUCAGGAAUGUCUCAUGGUCCAGUUCUUCAUCCUGAUUGGCUGAGACAUUGAUUCCUGGAGGGAGGGAGAAGACAGACAGUGAAGCUCCUCACACCUCUCCUGGGAGGCCAGAGAUGGGGAAGCUUUGGAUACAUGAAGCCUGAGGGAGUCUCAGCUGGCACUCUCUCCUCUAGACUGACUCCAUCUGUCAGAGGCUGCUCCAAGGCCACCAGGUACCAGUGCACCUCACACAUGACCUCUAAGGAUGGAUUCUUAACCCAGCUCUUCCCACACUCCCUGAGAUGGCACCUUUCGUGCUGGCAAAUCCCCAUUCUGCUAAUCAGCAAGUAAUCUGCUUGUUCCUGCUCUCCCAACUCAGGAUUUACAGCGGUUUAUUUAUAGUUCACCCCUAGGCCUGCCAGGUGGGGUCUCUGACCUUCCCACGGAGGUGACCUGGACCAUAGCCAGUGUCCAGUAACCAGCCCACCACACAUACACUCUAGUCUCUGGGGAAGGCAGGAGGGUGCCCAGGGCUGGUGCUGCUGUAAUGGGGACAGACAGGACAACUGUGCUGUGGCCUGGCUCAGCAUGCAAGCCCUGAACAACCUCAGGAAUGUCCCAUAAGCUCGGGCUCCCUCCAACGAACUGCAUCAGUUUCUAUGGCAACUGGUUAUUCUUGAAUAGUGUGGCUGGUAGAGCCCUCAAGAUCCCCAGGGGCUCAAGGUGUAACAAUAGGAGGUGGGGGACAAAGCUUGAAGCUGGGCCACAUCUGAUCCAACCUUGCAGGAGAGGGGAACAACCAAACAGUAGCCCCCUGGGGGGGGGGGAGGCUGAAGUGUGCUGCCUUUUCCUAGCUCCCAAAGGCCAUGCCUGGGCCCCCUCACUCCCACACCCCCCCCAAGCCGAAGAUCACUGCUCCCAUGCAGAAGAGCAGCUGGCACAGCCUCAGGAAAGGGCUUACUCAGACCAGAGGAAGUCAGGUCCCCCCAACACUGGAGUUACAGGUGUUUGUGAGCUCCCUUGUGAGUGCUUGGAAUUGAAUGUAAGUCUUCUGGAAAAGCAGCCAGUGCUCUUAACCACUGAGCCAUCCUUAAGACCCAGGCCCACCUC